ACAGCAGCCGCCACGGUAAUACGUAGGUGGCAAGCGUUGUCCGGAAUUAUUGGGCGUAAAGGGCUCGCAGGCGGUUUCUUAAGUCUGAUGUGAAAGCCCCCGGCUCAACCGGGGAGGGUCAUUGGAACCUGGGAAACUUGAGUGCAGAAGAGGAGAGUGGAAUUCCACGUGUAGCGGUGAAAUGCGUAGAGAUGUGGAGGAACACCAGUGGCGAAGGUGACUCUCUGGUCUGUAACUGACGCUGAGGAGCGAAAGCGUGGGGAGCGAACAGGAUUAGAUACCCGCGUAGUCCCUGUCUCUUAUAC
This 305-nucleotide ribosomal RNA is filed under the name uncultured bacterium. RNAcentral describes it as "partial 16S ribosomal RNA". It matches the Rfam family "Bacterial small subunit ribosomal RNA", at positions 508 to 807 of the family's 1533-position model. The record is from RNAcentral.